Molecule: ribosomal RNA, 253 nt
Filed under: uncultured prokaryote
Description: partial 16S ribosomal RNA
Rfam family: Bacterial small subunit ribosomal RNA
Source: RNAcentral
ACGAAGGGUGCAAGCGUUAAUCGGAAUUACUGGGCGUAAAGGGUGCGUAGGCGGUUUGUUAAGUUGGAUGUGAAAGCCCUGGGCUCAACCUGGGAAUGGCAUCCAAAACUGGCGAGCUGGAGUGCGGUAGAGGAUGGCGGAAUUCCCGGUGUAGCGGUGAAAUGCGUAGAGAUCGGGAGGAACAUCGAUGGCGAAGGCAGCCAUCUGGACCAGCACUGACGCUGAGGCACGAAAGCGUGGGGAGCAAACAGGA